CGGGGUGUAGCGCAGCCUGGUAGCGCACUUGCUUUGGGAGCAAGUUGUCGGGGGUUCGAAUCCCUCCACCCCGA
Molecule: transfer RNA, 74 nt
Filed under: Burkholderiales bacterium
Lineage: Bacteria; Pseudomonadati; Pseudomonadota; Betaproteobacteria; Burkholderiales
Also listed under: 1 other name
Description: tRNA-Pro
Rfam family: tRNA
About the family: Transfer RNA (tRNA) molecules are approximately 80 nucleotides in length. Their secondary structure includes four short double-helical elements and three loops (D, anti-codon, and T loops). Further hydrogen bonds mediate the characteristic L-shaped molecular structure. tRNAs have two regions of fundamental functional importance: the anti-codon, which is responsible for specific mRNA codon recognition, and the 3' end, to which the tRNAs corresponding amino acid is attached (by aminoacyl-tRNA synthetases). tRNAs cope with the degeneracy of the genetic code in two manners: having more than one tRNA (with a specific anti-codon) for a particular amino acid; and 'wobble' base-pairing, i.e. permitting non-standard base-pairing at the 3rd anti-codon position.
Source: RNAcentral